UUAUUGAAUGACAGGGAAAUUGGUACUGAUGCUGGCUCUUUACUGGGCAUGUGCUCGUUCCAUCUAUUUAUCUUCUCUUGUGCACAUCUUGUGGUCUUGAAUUGAAACCUCGCAUUCGUGCGGUUUGGGAGUCUGAAUAAACUCUGCUCCUGCUUCGUUCAAGAUCAUGUUUUCAUAUACACUAUAAAGUUACAGAAUGUCUUUUAACGAUUGCGCAAGCAGUCAUUAAACCUAUACAACUUUCAGCAACGGAUCUCUUGGCUCUCCUAUCGAUGAAGAACGCAGCGAAAUGCGAUAAGUAAUGUGAAUUGCAGAAUUCAGUGAAUCAUCGAAUCUUUGAACGCACCUUGCGCCCUUUGGUAUUCCGAAGGGCAUGCCUGUUUGAGUGUCAUUAAAUUAUCAACCUUGCUCGCUUUUACUAGCUUGAGUUUGGCUUGGAUGUGAGGGUUUUGCUGGCUUCCUUCAGUGGAUGGUCUGCUCCCUUUAAAUGCAUUAGUGGGAUCUCUUGUGGACCGUCACUUGGUGUGAUAAUUAUCUAUGCCUUGAGACUUUGAAGCCAAASUAAUGGGAACCUGCUCAUAACCGUCUUCGGACAAUCUCUGACAUUUUGACCUCAAAUCAAGGCGAGUAGGACUGAC
RNAcentral lists this ribosomal RNA (638 nucleotides) under fungal sp. DF04. RNAcentral describes it as "eukaryotic LSU rRNA". The stretch from base 238 to 391 matches the Rfam family "5.8S ribosomal RNA". Lineage: Eukaryota; Fungi. The record is from RNAcentral.